This 254-nucleotide ribosomal RNA is filed under the name uncultured prokaryote. Its description in RNAcentral is "partial 16S ribosomal RNA". It matches the Rfam family "Bacterial small subunit ribosomal RNA", at positions 524 to 777 of the family's 1533-position model. The record is from RNAcentral.
UACGUAGGGGGCAAGCGUUGUCCGGAAUCAUUGGGCGUAAAGCGCGCGUAGGCGGCCCGGUAAGUCCGCUGUGAAAGUCAAAGGCUCAACCUUUGAAAGCCGGUGGAUACUGCCGGGCUAGAGUCCGGAAGAGGCGAGUGGAAUUCCUGGUGUAGCGGUGGAAUGCGCAGAUAUCAGGAGGAACACCGAUAGCGAAGGCAGCUCGCUGGGACGGUACUGACGCUGAGGCGCGAAAGCGUGGGGAGCGAACAGGA